CCGCGGUAAUACGUAGGGUGCGAGCGUUGUCCGGAAUUAUUGGGCGUAAAGGGCUCGUAGGCGGUUUGUCGCGUCGGGAGUGAAAACGCCGUGCUUAACACGGCGCUUGCUUUCGAUACGGGCAGACUAGAGGUAUGCAGGGGAGAACGGAAUUCCUGGUGUAGCGGUGAAAUGCGCAGAUAUCAGGAGGAACACCGGUGGCGAAGGCGGUUCUCUGGGCAUUACCUGACGCUGAGGAGCGAAAGUGUGG
Molecule: ribosomal RNA, 250 nt
Filed under: Oxyrrhis marina
Lineage: Eukaryota; Dinophyceae; Oxyrrhinales; Oxyrrhinaceae
Description: partial Bacterial small subunit ribosomal RNA
Rfam family: Bacterial small subunit ribosomal RNA
Source: RNAcentral